Long non-coding RNA from Sorghum bicolor (sorghum), 385 nucleotides. RefSeq lists it as uncharacterized. The transcript is spliced from 2 exons. The record is from RefSeq and is a predicted model, not a curated record. Lineage: Eukaryota; Viridiplantae; Streptophyta; Magnoliopsida; Poales; Poaceae.
CUGACCGCUCAGCACGCGCAGCUGACCACUCAAGUGGCGCAGCUGACCGCUCAGGUGACCCAGCUCAUUCAAAGCAUGGGGCAAGGACAAGGUGUGCUAGCGGCUGGACACUACACUCCUCCUCCAUCGGCGGGUUCAAACGCUAAUGCACCACCGGCGGUUGAUCCCGUCAAUCCUUCACCGACGACCGGGAGGCCACCCUUUGAGUCUUCGCCACAGUAGCCCGGGAGGCCACUCUUUGAGUCUUUGCCGCAGUAGCUAUGUUGACCUUUUAAUAAUAGAGUUGUCAUGUUGAACUUUAAUGCAUUUUGUGAUGGUCACAGUAGCCACGUUGAACUUUGAUGCAUUUGUGCGGGACAUGUCAUGUUGAACUUUGAUGUAUUCG